CGGUGAAAUGCGUAGAGAUUAGGAAGAACACCAGUGGCGAAGGCGACUCUCUGGACCGUAACUGACGCUGAGGCAUGAAAGCGUGGGUAGCAAACAGGAUUAGAUACCCUGGUAGUCCACGCCGUAAACGAUGAGUACUAGGUGUAGGAGGUAUCGACCCCUUCUGUGCCGCAGUAAACACAUUAAGUACUCCGCCUGGGAAGUACGAUCGCAAGAUUAAAACUCAAAGGAAUUGACGGGGGCCCGCACAAGCAGCGGAGCAUGUGGUUUAAUUCG
This 276-nucleotide ribosomal RNA is filed under the name Clostridium aciditolerans. RNAcentral describes it as "partial 16S ribosomal RNA". It matches the Rfam family "Bacterial small subunit ribosomal RNA", at positions 679 to 953 of the family's 1533-position model. RNAcentral also lists the same sequence under 1 other name. Lineage: Bacteria; Bacillati; Bacillota; Clostridia; Eubacteriales; Clostridiaceae. The record is from RNAcentral.